Molecule: long non-coding RNA, 1052 nt
Organism: Suricata suricatta (meerkat)
Lineage: Eukaryota; Metazoa; Chordata; Mammalia; Carnivora; Herpestidae
Exons: 4
Source: RefSeq, a predicted model, not a curated record
ACUACUCUGUGGCUAAGGAAGGCAAGCAGGAAGGAAACCCACAUCCUUGAGUACCUACUGUGUGCCAGGCACAGAAGUAGGCACACUCUAGGUAGUAGUAGCUCAUUCAAUCCUUGUAAUGGCUCUUUGAAGUAGCAGCUUUCUCUCUGUUGCAUAUGAGAGAACUGACGGUCAGAGAGAAGCAGCUGUCAGAUGCACAGUUCCAAUGGAAACUCAGGCUAAGUGUCGGAUCAUACCAUAUCCUGCCCCGGACCUGGCCAGGGUACAUGCCCAGUGGCCUGCGUGAUGACAGGUGGGCUGAAGAGACAGGUGGCAUGUCCGUCCCACCAGAGCCCACAGCUGGUGGAGCCUUCAUGAAGACUCGCAUGGUAAUCAAAGGUAAAGUUCCCAUGGAAUGCUGGACUCCAUUUUGAAACCAGAAGACACAUUCAUGAAAUGCAACCCUCAGAAUAAAUCAGUAACCAUGGACCCAGCAGGAUGCUUGUUGGAAUUGUGACCCAGAAACUGCCCAUCCUGUCAGUCCUGCUGAAAGAGCCAGUAAAUCAGAGAAUACUUCAAUGAGGAAACAGAGGCCCACGAGAAGAGGCAGGCAUCCUUUUUUACUUCUGGGAUCUCUGCUUUGCCCCGCCCCCACAGCAUUAUCAAUGCCAUCAAACUUCCUGGAGAACUAGAUACAUCAAAGAACUUGGGAUUCUGGAAGCUCUGAGGACAAUGCUGGCUCCAGGGAGUGGAAGGCAUGCUGGGAAGGAGGGGAACUGGUGCCCAGGAGAAGGGAGUGAGUGCCAGAGGUGCCAGAAAGAGCAGCCUGCAUCACCAGGCAAUAACAGCAGCAUGAGACCGGGCGAACCUGUGCCUCCCGCCUGCGCACCUCCCCGCGGCCCCAACGGCCCCUUUGCUCUACGGAAAGCUCCCGUUCACUCCUUAAGACCCAGCAUCCCUCCUUUUUUUUGACCCCUUCCAACACCGGAGGAGAAUGCUCUUAGCAUUAGUCACCGCAUUCCUCUGUCUACAGCAGAAUAAAGGUAUCUGACCCCCUACAGUGGGUCAGGAGA